CGGCACAGAGGGAAGCCAGGUGGCGACACCGCGCGGAACCCGAAAGCCGUUCUCAGUUCGGAUCGGAGUCUGCAACCCGACUCCGUGAAGCUGGAUUCGCUAGUAAUCGCGCAUCAGCCAUGGCGCGGUGAAUACGUUCCCGGGCCUUGUACACACCGCCCGUCAAGCCAUGGGAGCCGGGGGUGCUUGAAGUGCGUCGCCGCAAGGCGCGCCCUAGAGCAAAACCGGUGACUGGGGCUAAGUCGUAACAAGGUAGC
This 257-nucleotide ribosomal RNA is filed under the name uncultured bacterium. Its description in RNAcentral is "partial 16S ribosomal RNA". It matches the Rfam family "Bacterial small subunit ribosomal RNA", at positions 1235 to 1500 of the family's 1533-position model. The record is from RNAcentral.